AUUGAACGCUGGCGGAAUGCUUUACACAUGCAAGUCGAACGGCAGCACGGGGCAACCUGGUGGCGAGUGGCGAACGGUGAGUAAUACAUCGGAACGUGCCCAAUCGUGGGGGAUAACGUAGCGAAAGUUACGCUAAUACCGCAUACGAUCUACGGAUGAAAGCGGGGGAUCGCAAGACCUCGCGCGAAUGGAGCGGCCGAUGUCAGAUUAGGUAGUUGGUGGGGUAAAGGCUCACCAAGCCAACGAUCUGUAGCUGGUCUGAGAGGACGACCAGCCACACUGGGACUGAGACACGGUCCAGACUCCUACGGGAGGCAGCAGUGGGGAAUUUUGGA
Molecule: ribosomal RNA, 335 nt
Filed under: uncultured bacterium
Lineage: Bacteria
Description: bacterial SSU rRNA
Rfam family: Bacterial small subunit ribosomal RNA
Source: RNAcentral